UACGAAGGGGACUAGCGUUGCUCGGAAUCACUGGGCGUAAAGCGCACGUAGGCGGACUCUUAAGUCGGUGGUGAAAUCCUGGAGCUCAACUCCAGAACUGCCUCCGAUACUGGGAGCCUUCGAGUCCGGGAGAGGUGAGUGGAACUGCGAGUGUAGAGGUGAAAUUCGUAGAUAUUCGCAAGAACACCAGUGGCGAAGGCGGCUCACUGGCCCGGUACUGACGCUGAGGUGCGAAAGCGUGGGGAGCAAACAGG
Molecule: ribosomal RNA, 254 nt
Filed under: uncultured bacterium
Lineage: Bacteria
Description: partial 16S ribosomal RNA
Rfam family: Bacterial small subunit ribosomal RNA
Source: RNAcentral